Molecule: ribosomal RNA, 278 nt
Filed under: uncultured bacterium
Lineage: Bacteria
Description: partial 16S ribosomal RNA
Rfam family: Bacterial small subunit ribosomal RNA
Source: RNAcentral
CGGAACAAUUUUUACUUUAGUGGCGGACGGGUGAGUAACGCGUGGGUAACCUGCCUUAUACAGGGGGAUAACACUUAGAAAUAGGUGCUAAGACCGCAUAAGCGCCCAGGGCCGCAUGGCCCAGGGUGAAAAACUCCGGUGGUAUAGGAUGGGCCCGCGUCUGAUUAGCCAGUUGGCAGGGUAACGGCCUACCAAAGCGACGAUCAGUAGCCGGCCUGAGAGGGUGGACGGCCACAUUGGGACUGAGACACGGCCCAAACUCCUACGGGAGGCAGCAG